This is a long non-coding RNA of Mirounga angustirostris (Northern elephant seal), 950 nucleotides long. RefSeq lists it as uncharacterized. The transcript has 3 exons. Lineage: Eukaryota; Metazoa; Chordata; Mammalia; Carnivora; Phocidae. The record is from RefSeq and is a predicted model, not a curated record.
UUCUAAUAUCUUUCCGGGAUAAGCUGGGGCCUGCGUCAUUACCCCACACUUGCAGAAGAAUGGGGAAGAUGAAGUAGGAGGCCCAAGAUCAACAGGCAGAAUCAAGACUUGAGCCCCAGCUUUUGCCCCAUCAGACCAUUUUCCGGGGAAGAUUACAUGCUGUUUUACUAAUUACUUAGAUUACUCACCACUGGGAGACUCUCACUUCAGAGCUGAGAACUGGCUGCCCGGUUUUCUGGCUAGUAACUGUCCUGAGUUCUUGAGCCAAAGAGUAUGCAAAGCCUCUCUCAACCUCCAGCAAGAUCUUCCAUGUCAGGAGGCAAACCUUUGAUAGCUACUGACAGGGAUCAUCUGUCAAGCUUCGUAAGAUUGUCACUUAAUGACAUUCCUUCCCAGAUUCCUCCUGCCGCUCAGGCUUCAUUUCAGUGUCACUUGAAUUGACGGUGGAUUCGUCAUUUUUAUGUGGGUUCAUCUGGAUGAGAUACUGGCUAUAUAAAAUUAGAAGAGGUUGAACUGAAGCACAUUCCAUUUUAAACGAAGCCAGCUUGUCAUGUUUUGAACAUUCACUGCUCUUCGGUAAUAUGAUUUGAAAAUUAAGUUUGUAUCAUAAAAGCGUAUCUUAAAGAGAUCUUAAUAGCUGAAUAAUGACACAAAAAAAGAAACAGUGUAUCAGAGAUGAUAAAAUGUAGUUAUACAUUUUUAUUCUAUGAAUGUAAAUAUUUCAGACCUAAAGAAAAUAUAUAACCUUGUCUUUUCACUUUGGGGUCAACUUAUAUUUUUUAAGUACUCAUAUUUUUAUAGUGAGAACUUUAGAUGAAUUGGAAGUUUCAACAAUGAUAACUCAAUUCUGUUACUCUGAUAUUUGUUUAAAAAUUUUGAGAAAAAAAUUGUUGAGCAAACCGAGUUCUUCAAACAGUACAAGUGGAUCAAUAUACCAUUGACUUGAAAAU